Girardinichthys multiradiatus is the source of this 3228-nucleotide long non-coding RNA. RefSeq lists it as uncharacterized. The record is from RefSeq and is a predicted model, not a curated record. The transcript is spliced from 4 exons. NCBI's taxonomy places the organism in Eukaryota, Metazoa, Chordata, Actinopteri, Cyprinodontiformes, Goodeidae.
GUGUGUGUGUGUGUGUGUGUGCACUUGUUUUUGUUACCAUGGAAGGCCCAAACGCAGGGAGCCCACCAACAAAGUGGGGCUCUGUGUCUUUGUGGGUUCCAAAAUCCUGGACCCCACAUGGGAAACCACUCUAAAGCAGCUUGGGAUGCUCUCCUAACAUGCCUCAUGCUUUUUUUUCACUUACCCCACUUGGUAGCAAUGAUUGGAAAAGUGUGUGCACAGUGUGUUUGCUCAGUAGAGACCCCUUGUCUGUGGGAAGUGGUACUGCAAGUAUACACACUACAGGAAGUGUGUAUCAUUGAGCCCGCCUGGUCCAACUUUUGACCAAUAAGAGUGGCCGAUAUCCCAAGAAAAUAUGUAAUUUCCUGAAGUUUCAGAAAGUGGUUUUUGUAUAAUUCCUGUUAUAAAAUAUUAUAACAGCACUAGGUAUUACAACCAAAUUAAAGAUUUAAAGCAGGUAAUUAUUAUUUUAGUAAGCAUAGCAACUAAAACAAUAGUGUAAACAUUUGCAUAAGCCCCUGUGAUAAUUCAUUGUCAUUUUCUUUAUUAAAAUUCCUAUAUUACAAUUGUAAUUAAUCUACAUGCUAUUUAAUGUUCAUUACACUUUUGUGCUUUAUAAAAAAUACACUCAUUCUUUAGACUUAUUUAGAAAAAAAAUAUCUUGUGCAUUUUUUAUAUUCUGGACAUAAGAAAAAUGAAGGUAUAAAUAAAUAGUUAUUUAAUAUUUUCAAUCAGUUUACUUAUUAGUUUAAUCUGCAGGUUUGUUAGCUACAGGUAUGUUAGCUUCAAGCGGCUAACAACGCCAGCUUUACGGCACUUUAUACGUUUACAACAUUUUUACGGCACUUCAUAACGUGUGACGGCGCCAGGCUGAAACUGCUCUAUGUGAGGAGGAAACGCUGCAAAGGAAGACGAGACGCUACUCAGAACCAAACACAACAUACGUGGUGAGUAAAUUUACAGCAUGUAAAUACUAAAUACAAGAAACUGAUGUGGAAAUGCUUUUAAUCCAGACUCCGAGGGGGUUGUACGCAAUGAUUUAGGCUUCCCAUUCGGUAUUUUGUCACUUCGGUGGCGUAAGGAUUUCCCCUAAAAGUCCGGCGUUUUAACUUGUCAUUCAUUUUAGCUUACAGUGAUUUUAAACACAGUGGUGUAAAAGGAAACAACAGAAUGUAUAGUUGCUCCGUGUUAUAUUCGGGGUGAAUUCCAUGUUUUAAUAUUCCAUAACAGCCGAUCCCAGAACCGGACUCUGGCCGUAGUUGCUCGCCGAAACUUCUUAAAAACUCGCCAAACACUUGUUAAAGCUCAGUGUUAUGUCUGUGUGUCUCUGUAUGUUUCGAGAGGUUUUUUUUACGUGAAAGAAUGCUGCAGUUUAAUAAAAUAAGCAUUUUGACGCGAAUAAAACUAUCAAGAACGCUAGCACUGUAUGCUAAGAACGUUAGCAUAUGUUCACUUUUAAAACAGACUCAUAAUAAAAAUGAGUUGGUAGCUCCUUGAAAUUAAAAUGAGUUAUAUUGGUAAAGCUAUUGAAAUAACUUCACUUAGGCUGUUGAUAUUGACAUAACUAUCAUUUAAUUCAGCAGCCACGUGACGUCAUACGUUAGCGUAAUAAUAAUACAUAUUUACAGGUGCCAUUCAAAAGACAAAAUGUCACCUUACAAAUAAAGUAAACCAUCAAUAACAACAAACCAGACACAAACAUCAAAUGUAAUGUCUGGAUUUACAAAGAGUAAGCAGUCUUGAUUAGAUUGGUUGUAAGUCUGGAUAUAAACAGGGAGAGUCUCAGUGUUGCUGAUGUUUGUGGCCCUGUCCACAUGAAAACAGGUUUGGAACUAUUUGUAUUCUUGGUUGGGUAUACAUUUCUAUCAUCUAUGACUUAAUGUAGACAUAGCCAGAAGGAUUCAGAGUUUGGGAGCAGAGGUGGAGAAACCUCUGCUCCCCAUGGUGCUGAAGUGAGAAGAGCUUGCACUGAGGUGCAUAGAAUAGGAGGAUAUGAGGAGGUGGCAACGUGAAUCAGAUCGGACUUUGUUUGCAAACAGAAGAAUUCUGAAUUCCACUCUGAAUAUGUAUAAAGCUGCAGUAGAACUGGUGUGAUGAAAUAAAGAUGUUCCAGUGAUGAUCUGAGCUGUGGAGCAAGCUACAUCUUAGGUAUACAGUUAUGGUGGAGCUCGUAGCUGCCCCUUCACCCCUGGUGCUUCAAGUUUGGAUGCAGCACUAUGGCUUUGCUGGUCUGUGUUGGACAUGUUACUUUUUAAAAACGCUAGUUAUAGUUGCAAGUUAUUCUCAUAUAAUUGUCUCUUUGGUUGGGUUGGAGCACCCCUAUUGGAUAAUGGUAGGGGAAAUGCCACUUUUGAACUAUUUAGAGUUUCUCCAUCUAGUUUUCAGUCUGUGCAUCCUAAACACCUACCCACUUAAUUAAAGGGCUGUUUCAGGCCUUUUUUGGAUUUGAUAGGAACUGUGACUGGUUAAAAGUACCAAAGCUCAGCUUCCUUCUGGCAAACAUUUUCAUUAAUAUAGGCAGAUUUUUUGAAAGAGAUUAUAGAAAAAUAUUCUGUGUUUUUUUUAUUCACUCUUGUUCUCUUAGUUCUCCAUCUGGCCAGUUUUAUUCCUUCAGACUCCAUACAGUGCAUGAUUACAAAUCUUUUUAAAUUAAUAUAGAGUGCUUAUAUAUAUUAUAAUGCUUAUUAGUUGUCUGUGUCAUGUUUAAAAUUUUUUUUUUAGCGCCAAAAAUGUCUAAAAGGAAGGCAAGAAAAAAGCCUGCUGAUGAAGCAACCUUUUACAUUCAAUUUUCAAAGGACAAACCAGGAUUAAUGGAAAGAUUUAUUGAUGAUCACAAAGGAAGGGGUGUGUUUGCUACCCAGCCCAUUGAACAAGGAGAUUUCGUCUUAGAAUACAGGGGUCAACUUCUAUCAGCAGAUAAAUGCCAAACAAGAAAGUACUCUGAAAAGGAGAGUACAUUUCUCUUUGAGUUUGAAUGGCAGAAUCGUCACUGGUGCAUUGAUGCUUCAAUAGAGGAUGGCUCUCUGGGAAGAUUAGUGAACGACAACCACAAGUCUCCAAACUGCAACAUGAAAAAAAUAAUAGUAAAUGAUCAACCCCAUUUGUGCCUGUUUGCCAUCAAAAAAAUAGAAAUAGGAACUGAAAUUGAUUACAACUAUGGUGAUUCUAAAUGGCCAUGGCGUGAAAAAGCUCCUACUGCUGUAGCUGAGCCAGCCAGAACCUCGUGGG